GGUGUUGUAGCUCAAUGGUAGAGCACUUGUCUAGCAUGUGUGAGGCACUGGACUUGAUCCUCAGCACCA
RNAcentral lists this transfer RNA (69 nucleotides) under Marmota monax (woodchuck). It matches the Rfam family "tRNA". From Rfam's summary of the family: Transfer RNA (tRNA) molecules are approximately 80 nucleotides in length. Their secondary structure includes four short double-helical elements and three loops (D, anti-codon, and T loops). The record is from Rfam by way of RNAcentral. RNAcentral also lists the same sequence under 2 other names. Lineage: Eukaryota; Metazoa; Chordata; Mammalia; Rodentia; Sciuridae.